This 444-nucleotide ribosomal RNA is filed under the name uncultured bacterium. RNAcentral describes it as "bacterial SSU rRNA". It matches the Rfam family "Bacterial small subunit ribosomal RNA", at positions 335 to 795 of the family's 1533-position model. The record is from RNAcentral.
ACUCCUACGGGAGGCAGCAGUGGGGAAUAUUGGACAAUGGGGGAAACCCUGAUCCAGCGAUGCCGCGUGAGUGAAGAAGGCCUUUGGGUUGUAAAGCUCUUUUGUGAUGGAAGAUGAUGACGGUACAUCAAGAAAAAGUCCCGGCUAACUUCGUGCCAGCAGCCGCGGUAAUACGAAGGGGACUAGCGUUGUUCGGAAUGACUGGGCGUAAAGGGCGCGUAGGCGGUUACAUAAGUCCGAUGUUAAAGCGUAGGGCUCAACCCUAUAAAGGCGUUGGAUACUGUGAAACUAGACUUCUGGAGAGGUAAGUGGAAUUACCAGAGUAGCGGUGAAAUGCGUAGAUACUGGUAGGAACACCCAUAGCGAAGGCAGCUUACUGGACAGAGAGUGACGCUGAGGCGCGAAAGUGUGGGGAGCAAACCGGAUUAGAUACCCUGGUAGGUC